CUACAAGGGCAGGUGUACAAAAUAGAUUGGAAAUUAUUGAAAGAUAUUUUUCAUAAUACAUGUCAUCACCCCGAGUUUUAAUUAUUUUAUAAGAAAUGUACACAAUUCUUUGAUAUUGAAGUUAACUCCACCCAUUUGAAAAAAUAAAACUUUUGCUUAUUUAUCAAAAA
Long non-coding RNA from Bombina bombina (fire-bellied toad), 170 nucleotides. RefSeq lists it as uncharacterized. The record is from RefSeq and is a predicted model, not a curated record. NCBI's taxonomy places the organism in Eukaryota, Metazoa, Chordata, Amphibia, Anura, Bombinatoridae. The transcript is spliced from 2 exons.